Molecule: ribosomal RNA, 361 nt
Filed under: uncultured bacterium
Lineage: Bacteria
Description: partial 16S ribosomal RNA
Rfam family: Bacterial small subunit ribosomal RNA
Source: RNAcentral
CCUACGGGAGGCAGCAGUGAGGAAUAUUGGUCAAUGGGCGGAAGCCUGAACCAGCCAAGUAGCGUGCAGGAUGACGGCCCUACGGGUUGUAAACUGCUUUUAUACGGGAAUAACGCGCCUUACGUGUAGGGCUUUGCAUGUACCGUAUGAAUAAGGACCGGCUAAUUCCGUGCCAGCAGCCGCGGUAAUACGGAAGGUCCGGGCGUUAUCCGGAUUUAUUGGGUUUAAAGGGAGCGUAGGCCGCAUGUCAAGCGUGCUGUGAAAUGUCCGGGCUCAACCCGGGCCUUGCAGGGGGAACUGGGGGGCUUGAGUGCGGGAGAGGCAGGCGGAAUUCGGGGUGUAGCGGUGAAAUGCGGAGAGA